Molecule: ribosomal RNA, 2903 nt
Filed under: Escherichia coli
Lineage: Bacteria; Pseudomonadati; Pseudomonadota; Gammaproteobacteria; Enterobacterales; Enterobacteriaceae
Description: bacterial LSU rRNA
Rfam family: Bacterial large subunit ribosomal RNA
Source: RNAcentral
UUAAGCGACUAAGCGUACACGGUGGAUGCCCUGGCAGUCAGAGGCGAUGAAGGACGUGCUAAUCUGCGAUAAGCGUCGGUGAGGUGAUAUGAACCGUUAUAACCGGCGAUUUCCGAAUGGGGAAACCCAGUGUGUUUCGACACACUAUCAUUAACUGAAUCCAUAGGUUAAUGAGGCGAACCGGGGGAACUGAAACAUCUAAGUACCCCGAGGAAAAGAAAUCAACCGAGAUUCCCCCAGUAGCGGCGAGCGAACGGGGAGGAGCCCAGAGCCUGAAUCAGUGUGUGUGUUAGUGGAAGCGUCUGGAAAGGCGCGCGAUACAGGGUGACAGCCCCGUACACAAAAAUGCACAUAUUGUGAGCUCGAUGAGUAGGGCGGGACACGUGGUAUCCUGUCUGAAUAUGGGGGGACCAUCCUCCAAGGCUAAAUACUCCUGACUGACCGAUAGUGAACCAGUACCGUGAGGGAAAGGCGAAAAGAACCCCGGCGAGGGGAGUGAAAAAGAACCUGAAACCGUGUACGUACAAGCAGUGGGAGCCUCUUAAUGGGGUGACUGCGUACCUUUUGUAUAAUGGGUCAGCGACUUAUAUUCUGUAGCAAGGUUAACCGAAUAGGGGAGCCGAAGGGAAACCGAGUCUUAACUGGGCGUUAAGUUGCAGGGUAUAGACCCGAAACCCGGUGAUCUAGCCAUGGGCAGGUUGAAGGUUGGGUAACACUAACUGGAGGACCGAACCGACUAAUGUUGAAAAAUUAGCGGAUGACUUGUGGCUGGGGGUGAAAGGCCAAUCAAACCGGGAGAUAGCUGGUUCUCCCCGAAAGCUAUUUAGGUAGCGCCUCGUGAAUUCAUCUCCGGGGGUAGAGCACUGUUUCGGCAAGGGGGUCAUCCCGACUUACCAACCCGAUGCAAACUGCGAAUACCGGAGAAUGUUAUCACGGGAGACACACGGCGGGUGCUAACGUCCGUCGUGAAGAGGGAAACAACCCAGACCGCCAGCUAAGGUCCCAAAGUCAUGGUUAAGUGGGAAACGAUGUGGGAAGGCCCAGACAGCCAGGAUGUUGGCUUAGAAGCAGCCAUCAUUUAAAGAAAGCGUAAUAGCUCACUGGUCGAGUCGGCCUGCGCGGAAGAUGUAACGGGGCUAAACCAUGCACCGAAGCUGCGGCAGCGACGCUUAUGCGUUGUUGGGUAGGGGAGCGUUCUGUAAGCCUGUGAAGGUGUGCUGUGAGGCAUGCUGGAGGUAUCAGAAGUGCGAAUGCUGACAUAAGUAACGAUAAAGCGGGUGAAAAGCCCGCUCGCCGGAAGACCAAGGGUUCCUGUCCAACGUUAAUCGGGGCAGGGUGAGUCGACCCCUAAGGCGAGGCCGAAAGGCGUAGUCGAUGGGAAACAGGUUAAUAUUCCUGUACUUGGUGUUACUGCGAAGGGGGGACGGAGAAGGCUAUGUUGGCCGGGCGACGGUUGUCCCGGUUUAAGCGUGUAGGCUGGUUUUCCAGGCAAAUCCGGAAAACCAAGGCUGAGGCGUGAUGACGAGGCACUACGGUGCUGAAGCAACAAAUGCCCUGCUUCCAGGAAAAGCCUCUAAGCAUCAGGUAACAUCAAAUCGUACCCCAAACCGACACAGGUGGUCAGGUAGAGAAUACCAAGGCGCUUGAGAGAACUCGGGUGAAGGAACUAGGCAAAAUGGUGCCGUAACUUCGGGAGAAGGCACGCUGAUAUGUAGGUGAAGCGACUUGCUCGUGGAGCUGAAAUCAGUCGAAGAUACCAGCUGGCUGCAACUGUUUAUUAAAAACACAGCACUGUGCAAACACGAAAGUGGACGUAUACGGUGUGACGCCUGCCCGGUGCCGGAAGGUUAAUUGAUGGGGUUAGCGGCAACGCGAAGCUCUUGAUCGAAGCCCCGGUAAACGGCGGCCGUAACUAUAACGGUCCUAAGGUAGCGAAAUUCCUUGUCGGGUAAGUUCCGACCUGCACGAAUGGCGUAAUGAUGGCCAGGCUGUCUCCACCCGAGACUCAGUGAAAUUGAACUCGCUGUGAAGAUGCAGUGUACCCGCGGCAAGACGGAAAGACCCCGUGAACCUUUACUAUAGCUUGACACUGAACAUUGAGCCUUGAUGUGUAGGAUAGGUGGGAGGCUUUGAAGUGUGGACGCCAGUCUGCAUGGAGCCGACCUUGAAAUACCACCCUUUAAUGUUUGAUGUUCUAACGUGGGCCCCUAAUCGGGGUUGCGGACAGUGUCUGGUGGGUAGUUUGACUGGGGCGGUCUCCUCCUAAAGAGUAACGGAGGAGCACGAAGGUUGGCUAAUCCUGGUCGGACAUCAGGAGGUUAGUGCAAUGGCAUAAGCCAGCUUGACUGCGAGCGUGACGGCGCGAGCAGGUGCGAAAGCAGGUCAUAGUGAUCCGGUGGUUCUGAAUGGAAGGGCCAUCGCUCAACGGAUAAAAGGUACUCCGGGGAUAACAGGCUGAUACCGCCCAAGAGUUCAUAUCGACGGCGGUGUUUGGCACCUCGAUGUCGGCUCAUCACAUCCUGGGGCUGAAGUAGGUCCCAAGGGUAUGGCUGUUCGCCAUUUAAAGUGGUACGCGAGCUGGGUUUAGAACGUCGUGAGACAGUUCGGUCCCUAUCUGCCGUGGGCGCUGGAGAACUGAGGGGGGCUGCUCCUAGUACGAGAGGACCGGAGUGGACGCAUCACUGGUGUUCGGGUUGUCAUGCCAAUGGCACUGCCCGGUAGCUAAAUGCGGAAGAGAUAAGUGCUGAAAGCAUCUAAGCACGAAACUUGCCCCGAGAUGAGUUCUCCCUGAGACUUAGAGUCUCCUGAAGGAACGUUGAAGACGACGACGUUGAUAGGCCGGGUGUGUAAGCGCAGCGAUGCGUUGAGCUAACCGGUACUAAUGAACCGUGAGGNCAAGGCUG